UCCCCUAUGCCGGGAUAGCUCAAUUGGUAGAGCAUGAGACUCUCGAUCUCUAGGUGGUGGUUCUGAGUCCCAUGUUGGGGGGAA
Molecule: non-coding RNA, 84 nt
Organism: Podarcis lilfordi (Lilford's wall lizard)
Lineage: Eukaryota; Metazoa; Chordata; Lepidosauria; Squamata; Lacertidae
Source: the annotation of a GenBank genome assembly